RNAcentral lists this ribosomal RNA (768 nucleotides) under uncultured archaeon. RNAcentral's name for it is "bacterial SSU rRNA". It matches the Rfam family "Archaeal small subunit ribosomal RNA", at positions 36 to 816 of the family's 1478-position model. The record is from RNAcentral.
GCUUGAUGUCUAGCAUGCGAGUCAUUGUAGCAUACAAGGCAUACGGCUCAGUAACGCGUAGUCAACCUAACCUAUGGACGGGAAUAACCUCGGGAAACUGAGAAUAAUGCCCGAUAGAACACUAUACCUGGAAUGGUUUGUGUUCCAAAUGAUUUAUCGCCAUAGGAUGGGACUGCGGCCUAUCAGUUUGUUGGUGAGGUAAUGGCCCACCAAGACUAUUACAGGUACGGGCUCUGAGAGGAGUAGCCCGGAGAUGGGUACUGAGACACGGACCCAGGCCCUAUGGGGCGCAGCAGGCGAGAAAACUUUGCAAUGUGCGAAAGCACGACAAGGUUAAUCCGAGUGAUUUGUGCUAAACGAAUCUUUUGUUAGUCCUAGAAACACUAACGAAUAAGGGGUGGGCAAGUUCUGGUGUCAGCCGCCGCGGUAAAACCAGCACCUCAAGUGGUCAGGAUGAUUAUUGGGCCUAAAGCAUCCGUAGCCGGCUCUGUAAGUUUUCGGUUAAAUCUGUACGCUUAACGUACAGGCUGCCGGGAAUACUGCAAAGCUAGGGAGUGGGAGAGGUAGACGGUACUCGGUAGGAAGUGGUAAAAUGCUUUGAUCUAUCGAUGACCGCCUGUGGCGAAGGCGGUCUACCAGAACACGUCCGACGGUGAGGGAUGAAAGCUGGGGGAGCAAACCGGGAUUAGAUACCCGGGUAGUCCAGCUGUAACUAUGCAACUCAGUUGAUGCAUGCCUUGUGUGAUGCAGUGCUGCAAGUAAGUCCGU